GACCCCGUAGCUCAGCGGAUAGAGCAGCAGCCUUCGAAGCUGUUUGUCGCGCGUUCGAAUCGCGCCGGGGUCGCCG
RNAcentral lists this transfer RNA (76 nucleotides) under Chloroflexota bacterium. Its description in RNAcentral is "Chloroflexi bacterium tRNA-Arg". It matches the Rfam family "tRNA". From Rfam's summary of the family: Transfer RNA (tRNA) molecules are approximately 80 nucleotides in length. Their secondary structure includes four short double-helical elements and three loops (D, anti-codon, and T loops). Further hydrogen bonds mediate the characteristic L-shaped molecular structure. tRNAs have two regions of fundamental functional importance: the anti-codon, which is responsible for specific mRNA codon recognition, and the 3' end, to which the tRNAs corresponding amino acid is attached (by aminoacyl-tRNA synthetases). tRNAs cope with the degeneracy of the genetic code in two manners: having more than one tRNA (with a specific anti-codon) for a particular amino acid; and 'wobble' base-pairing, i.e. permitting non-standard base-pairing at the 3rd anti-codon position. The record is from RNAcentral. Lineage: Bacteria; Bacillati; Chloroflexota.